RNAcentral lists this ribosomal RNA (301 nucleotides) under uncultured bacterium. RNAcentral's name for it is "partial 16S ribosomal RNA". It matches the Rfam family "Bacterial small subunit ribosomal RNA", at positions 509 to 807 of the family's 1533-position model. The record is from RNAcentral.
CAGUCGCCACGGUAAUACGAACCGUGCGAACGUUAUUCGGAAUUACUGGGCUUAAAGCGCGUGUAGGCGGGCCGCCACGUCGGUUGCUGAAAUCCCCCGGCUCAACCGGGGAAGUGGCAUCGAUACGAGCGGCCUUGAGGGGGGUAGGGGGAUCUGGAACUUCCGGUGGAGCGGUGAAAUGCGUUGAGAUCGGAAGGAACGCCCGCGGCGAAAGCGAGGUCCUGGACCCUUUAUGACGCUGAGACGCGAAAGCCAGGGGAGCGAACGGGAUUAGAUACCCCCGUAGUCCCUGUCUCUUAUA